UGCAAAUCAACCUGAUGAGACUGUUGACUGAUACUUUUAUGAUUAUAUAUGAUGUAAGUGAACUUGAAUCUAUUGUAUAUAAUGCCUUGUCAUGUCAGAAGCCACUAGAUUUUAAUUGUUAUUAAGCCUCAUAAAUCAAUUUUUUAAUUUUGAUUCUAUUGAAAAAUAUUUUACUGUGACAAAACAAGCAAGUGCUGGUAUGAAUCAAAAUUUUAUUUGAAUUAAUGUUUUGUUGUUCAAAUUGAAUAGUGUGCUGUCAAUAUAUUUGAGAAAAAAGGUAGGGGUGCACACACAGAAGUUUAACUUUUCAGACUAUACAAACAUACUAUGAAGUGGUAUGUACAAACUUACAAAUUUUAGUUUAUUAUUGCAACAGUUUUUACCCAAA
Molecule: long non-coding RNA, 388 nt
Organism: Amphimedon queenslandica
Lineage: Eukaryota; Metazoa; Porifera; Demospongiae; Haplosclerida; Niphatidae
Exons: 3
Source: RefSeq, a predicted model, not a curated record